CUUAGGAGCCUUUCUUUGGGCCAGUGCUGCAGGGCAGGGAGAAGGCCUGGGUUUUCCUCAGCUGGAGGAGGUGGGGUUUUCCUUUGGCCUGCAGGGCUUGGGCCUUCCUCAGAACCCUGACAGAAGGUUAACAUUUUACCUUUUUUUCUUGUUUCCACUUUUGGUUUGUAAUCUCUGUUCAUGAAUUUGUUGUUUGUUUUCCAGGGAAGAGUUGGAGCUGGUGCCCAGUCCGGGUUGGGAAGGGCUGGGACCAUCCCUGGAGAGGAUCUGACGUCCCCUCUGAGAAGGCUGAGGACAUCCUUUGGGACACGCUCUUCUUGCGGCAGCAGAUCUUGUGAGACAGGACACCUCUGCCUGAUCUCCCGCGGAUCCGAGGGAUCUCUGGAUCUUCACGCCAGCACCAGGACUUUGCUGCAGAAGAGCACAGAUCCCCAGCCCAGUCUGGGACACAGAACCUGUGAAAGGGCAGAAAGAUUGUGGUGUGAAUGCAGCGCCCUCAGAGCCCUUGGUGUGAGCCCGGAAAGGAAAAUCAAGCUGAGGGACAAGAUCAGUCUAAUUUGGGGACAUUGUUGGAGGUUGGAGUUGCAGUUCUGGAAGAAAUCCCCGAGGAAAUGGUGCCCCCAGGGAGAGGAAGAGGACGAGAGCAUGGGCAGCCUGCUUCAAACAUCCCCCCAGGAGACCUGGGAUCAGUCCCUCUGCAUCCUGUAAGAAAGAUGGACACUGGAAAUGGGAUUGUCCACAACUGAAACUUCAGAACCCUCCGAACCCUCUCGUGGCAUCACUGAAGACGACUGAGGGGGCACCAGAGGAUUCUUCCCCAUCAGAACAUCUGGUUCCAGCCAAGCUAAGCACAAUUGUUUGUGGCUGUGGGAACUUGUUCCUCUGUGUUAAAUCCAGGAAAAUGAAACUCAAGGGACAAUUCUAGAACAAUUGUCUGGUGUGCCAGGGAAUUGGGAAACUGGGCCAUUUUUAAUGCUGUGGCUUUGAAAUUGGGAAAACAGUGGUUGGCUCCCCAGUUUUUGUAUUUCCCCAAUUCCCCAAAGCCUCUGCUUGGGAGAGAUCUCUUGGCAAAAUGAAAUGCCACAAUCCAAUUGAAAAAUGGUCCAAUAUAGGUUAUUAUUGCAGAGCCUAAUUCUGUGCAAGUUUCUAGUUUUGCAUGAGAGUCUCCCAAAGCAGAAGUAAUCCAUCUGCCACCAUCACUUGGGGAUGCAGUGGUUCCAACAGGAUGGGCUGGAGAGGUGCCUCCAUGAUCCAAGAGAGCAGAACCCGUGAGAAUUCCAGAGAAACCUGGAGUGGGGUUGGUGGGGCCAAAGCAAUGUCCUUUGCAAAUAGAAAGUUGUAAGGGAUUCUCACCCUUUGUAGAACAAUUGAUGAAAUUUUGCUUGUGAAAAGAAUGUGAAUCUAAAUGGAA
Pseudopipra pipra is the source of this 1411-nucleotide long non-coding RNA. RefSeq lists it as uncharacterized. The transcript has 3 exons. NCBI's taxonomy places the organism in Eukaryota, Metazoa, Chordata, Aves, Passeriformes, Pipridae. The record is from RefSeq and is a predicted model, not a curated record.